UGGUUUGCUAUGUGAUAUUCGGCUCUCAGUUCAAAUUCCUUCUCAUUACUAUCAAUUAUUUUCUGAUUAUUUAGCAACUGUAACAAAAGAUGAACCGAACAAAGUAAUGAACCCCGGAUUGAAGAGGUAGCUGGUGAGAUAAGAAAUUUUCAACCUAUGAUCCUCAUUGGUAGAAGGAACUUCAGACAACCAGUAUAAUUUCAAAAAGGAGGAGUAAGCAAGGAGAAAGGAGGCGGCAGUAAAAAAGUCCUAGUUUACACUCUUUCCCUUUAUAAACUUUACCCAAGAAAUGAAAAGCCUAUAUCUCCUAUUGGCCGAAAAAUUUGAAGUUCAUGAAUUGAAAAAUAAGAAAAAUGGGGCCCAAGUUAGAUAAGUUGGACAAAUGCCUGUCACGCUGGAACAAUACGCACCACAGUCUCCCCUCUCUGCGACGGUGGAGCGCUGCCUGCCACGGUGGAAGGAUGAAAGGUAAAGGCCGAAACUCUUGCCUGCCUCCGUUCUCGUUCCUUGCCACUCUGGAGUUUUUUCCUUCCUGCCACGUUGGAACAAUAUUUACAAAGUCUCCCCUCCCUGCCACGGUGGAGCGCUGCUUGCCAUGCUGGACGGUUGAAAGGUAAAGGCCGAAACUUUCGCUUCUACUUUCGCUUCCACUUCCGUUUCUUGCCACGCUGGAGUUUUUUCCCUCCUGCCACGCUGGAAUUUUCCCAGUUUUUGGCGACAAGGCUGAUGCAUCUCAAUUUCAGUUUUCUCUCCCAAAACGGUCGUCUUUCUCUCAUGCACCCAUCGACCUAUCAUGACUCGCACAAAUCUGGAAUUCCCGUUUACCAUCUCCGGUGAAAAAUCAGAACUCUCAAUUCCCAGCAAAGCCCCUUGUUCUGCCCAAAAAUGCGGCAGCACUCGCCGCUGCCUCAUUAUCUAAGCCCCGGCGAGGCCAGCGACUUGUCUGGUCAGCAAUACCUUCGCCCAACUCACCACCUCUAUCCCUCUCAUCUCUCUCAUACACCACAGAAUAAGCUCCUAUACAAAUUCGAGCUAUACCGCCGCCCUAUCUGGCGAAAAUUAGUGCCGAGAAGAAUCAUCACCCACAGUCGUGCCCUAAGGAUCCCCAGCUCCGACCUCCAAUCGUAAACCACAAAGUUGGAAAAUCAAAUUCCCCCACAAACCGACCAUGUCCAGUGAGAAUCGAUGAUUCUCUGACAAAUUUGAACCAACCCAUCUCUCUCCAUUUUCUACAACAAAUGCUCCCAAAUCCAUAUCACGGUAGAAAGCUUUGGUCACUCAAAUCUCAGAUCUAAAAGCCCCAACAUAAGAAUCACUGGAGAAUGUCGUCGGCGUAAAGACCUUCCACCGCGGGCCGCGGGCCAUUCUCAGCCACGACUUUCACUAACUUCGACCACCAAUAUCACCCAUUUUCAAUAAGAUCAGAAAUCCCAAAUCCUUAUAUAUAUACAUAGGGGCGCGCUCCAGUGAGACCCCCUAUUUUUCGUGUAACAUGAGUACAAUGAAUAAGACAUAUAAUAUUAAUGAACAAAACGUAUAUCUAAUGAACAAGAUGUAUAUACUGAUGAAAAAUAAAAUUUAAAAAAUUCGUAAUGAAUAAAACAUAUAUACUGAUGAACAUGGCCGUACAUACUGAUGAACAAUGCAGUAUAUACUGAUGAAUAACAAAAUUGAAAAUAUUAUGCUCCCUCCAGGAUUUGAACCCUGCGAAAAAAAAUAUCCUUCAGAUUCAAUAUCAGCCAUAUGAUUGAUAAAAUAAACGCAGCAGAUCGUGCCCUAGAUCUCACUAAAAUUAGGGGGUCUCAUUGGAGUGGCCCUCUAUAUAUAUAUGUAUGUGUGUAUGUGGUGUGUUUAUCGUGGAAUACAUUAUGUAUAAUUUAGAACCAAUUAAAAUACAAUGCAUCUACUAUAUAAAUUAAUGCAUUCGUUAUUAAAUUUAAUGCAUCCAAAAAUAAUAAAUUUUUUGCUCCUUUCAGGAUUCGAACCCAUGAUCUGCAUUCAUCCACCNCUAUAUAUAUAUAUAUAUAUAUAUAUAUAUAUAUAUAUUCAUUUUCUGAAAAAUCGCUUUCUAUUUUCCUUGGAAAAAAAUCUGAAAUACCUUCAUCUCCUUCGCCACGACCG
RNAcentral lists this long non-coding RNA (2121 nucleotides) under Salvia miltiorrhiza (redroot sage). RNAcentral describes it as "long non-coding RNA (SMIL_LNC005406)". Lineage: Eukaryota; Viridiplantae; Streptophyta; Magnoliopsida; Lamiales; Lamiaceae. The record is from RNAcentral.